Neogale vison (American mink) is the source of this 106-nucleotide small nuclear RNA. NCBI's taxonomy places the organism in Eukaryota, Metazoa, Chordata, Mammalia, Carnivora, Mustelidae. The record is from Ensembl.
GUACUGCUUUGGCAGCACAUAUACUAAAAUUGGAAUGAUACGGGGAAGAUUAGCACAGUCCCUGUGAAAGGAUGACGUGCAAAUUCAUGAAGCAUUUCAUAUUUUU